GGGCUAUUAGCUCAGUUGGU
RNAcentral lists this transfer RNA (20 nucleotides) under Nostoc cf. lichenoides JT2-VF1. RNAcentral describes it as "partial tRNA-Ile". The record is from RNAcentral. Lineage: Bacteria; Bacillati; Cyanobacteriota; Cyanophyceae; Nostocales; Nostocaceae.